Macaca mulatta (Rhesus monkey) is the source of this 962-nucleotide long non-coding RNA. RefSeq lists it as uncharacterized. The record is from RefSeq and is a predicted model, not a curated record. NCBI's taxonomy places the organism in Eukaryota, Metazoa, Chordata, Mammalia, Primates, Cercopithecidae.
CUGGUCUCAAACUCUUGAUCUCAUGAUCCACCUGCCCAAAGUGCUGGAAUUGCAGGGGUGAGCCACCGUCCCCAGCUAUGCCUGCUAUUUUCUAGGGCUUAUUGAAAGGUUAGAAAGGAUCUUGGCAGUCUUUCACUUCCAUAUAUUUCACUUCCAAUAUCACCUGACACGUGAUGAUGUAUUCUCUAAUGCGUCUGCUUUUUUUUGUGUAUGUGUGACCUCAGUUUUUUCCGAUUUACCACAGCUGCCGGGUAGAGGUACUGACGGUGUCUGUGAUUAAGCAUCAUACCUAUUACAGCAUCUACCAAUGAGAGUAUUAAGACCAAAUGAAUUCUCCCACUAGAUUGAUUACACAGGAGGUAAAUUCUGAGAAUUAUUUGCGAAGCAAAAAGAAGCUUUUGAAAACAGGAACCUGGGAAUCCAAGCAGUGGGUGUUUUGAGGAUGAUCCAGAUACACUUAGGAGUAUUCAGAUCCUGAAACUCCAUGACAUGAAGGGAAAAGUUGAGAGAAAACAAUCCCCCGGGAGGAGGAAAGCGGCCAAGAGAAAAUGGAACAGCUGAGAAAGAAUGGAAAUGAUUCUAAUGCUCCACGACACAGAGCCAAGUGGGAGGGAAGCCAGGGUAAAUGAUCCGAGCCCGUCUACGAAACAGCCCGCCUCAGCUUGCGCGCUGGGUGCUUACUCAGUGAAGCAAUAACAACUCUGUCGUGGCUGACACAGCUGGAGCUUCUCCACGUCAGUCAGCUGCAGGAAACCAGCCUAUGUCCAUUGUGCAAGGGGUCUGAACACUAGAGACACAGGCAUACAAGACUGUGUCUCUACUCCACUUCUCCUUGGUUGUUAUGGGAAGUGAGUGUCUCAAGUUAAAUAAACUAGACUCUGGGGAACUAUACAGUAAAGACUUAGUGAUCGGCACAGCUUGGCAUUUAUGGUGAUUAAAGAUACAAACAUAUUACAACUUCA